UUAUUCUAUUUCCACACCCAGUCAUGCUAU
This 30-nucleotide non-coding RNA is filed under the name Rattus norvegicus (Norway rat). Lineage: Eukaryota; Metazoa; Chordata; Mammalia; Rodentia; Muridae. The record is from RNAcentral.